Molecule: ribosomal RNA, 565 nt
Filed under: Bifidobacterium animalis subsp. lactis
Lineage: Bacteria; Bacillati; Actinomycetota; Actinomycetes; Bifidobacteriales; Bifidobacteriaceae
Description: bacterial SSU rRNA
Rfam family: Bacterial small subunit ribosomal RNA
Source: RNAcentral
UCUCCUGGAAAACGGGUGGUAAUACCGGAUGCUCCGCUCCAUCGCAUGGUGGGGUGGGAAAUGCUUUUGCGGCAUGGGAUGGGGUCGCGUCCUAUCAGCUUGUUGGCGGGGUGAUGGCCCACCAAGGCGUUGACGGGUAGCCGGCCUGAGAGGGUGACCGGCCACAUUGGGACUGAGAUACGGCCCAGACUCCUACGGGAGGCAGCAGUGGGGAAUAUUGCACAAUGGGCGCAAGCCUGAUGCAGCGACGCCGCGUGCGGGAUGGAGGCCUUCGGGUUGUAAACCGCUUUUGUUCAAGGGCAAGGCACGGUUUCGGCCGUGUUGAGUGGAUUGUUCGAAUAAGCACCGGCUAACUACGUGCCAGCAGCCGCGGUAAUACGUAGGGUGCGAGCGUUAUCCGGAUUUAUUGGGCGUAAAGGGCUCGUAGGCGGUUCGUCGCGUCCGGUGUGAAAGUCCAUCGCCUAACGGUGGAUCUGCGCCGGGUACGGGCGGGCUGGAGUGCGGUAGGGGAGACUGGAAUUCCCGGUGUAACGGUGGAAUGUGUAGAUAUCGGAAAAGAACACCA